This is a non-coding RNA of Paramuricea clavata, 701 nucleotides long. Lineage: Eukaryota; Metazoa; Cnidaria; Anthozoa; Malacalcyonacea; Plexauridae. The record is from the annotation of a GenBank genome assembly.
CUCAAAAAAUCGAGGAAAACCAAGCCAAAAUUCCGCUUUAUUUUCUGCCAAAAUAAAAAAGAAGUCAAUUAAAUGCUACAGAAAUUGCGACGAGACCAUAAUGGACGUUUUGUUAAAUUUUGGGCCAAAUCGGAAUGGGAAUGAUGAAGAAAUUAUUGAGAAAUUUCAAUGUUAAAUCAUGGUGGUCAAAGACAAGAUGGCGGACGUCUUCUUCUCCAAUCAAGAAAAUGAAACGAAACUGCUUCAAUGGUGUUGGAAGUCAACAAUAUGUUAUAUGUGUUACCCUGUAAGUUAUUAUAUAACUACUCUUAAUGUAUAAAGCCAUUAUGUUUUACUUAUUUUACUUUUUACCAACACAUUUAAUAUUUUAUCCUAUUUUUCUUAAAAAGUGUUACGUAAAAACUCGUUCAUUGCAUGCAUUUCAAUACACAACAUGAUAAUUAUUAUCAAAUGAUACAGUAUAGUGUUCCAUUGCAAAUUUUUUCCUAAAUAUAACCCUGUUAGAUAAAAAUUCACAUCUCCCCCCCUGAAAUUAUAUUACAGGUCCCCCUCCCCCCUUUCUACAAAACCCAGCAUUAAUUUAUCUGUAAAAUGUCGCUAUUUUAUUUGUGAUAUCUAAAAAUUAACCAGCUAAUUUUUAAUUUCCUGUAGUGAAUCUAUCAAAGCCAAGAUAAACGGUGCCAACUAAACAGCAGAAGAUG